Molecule: ribosomal RNA, 509 nt
Filed under: Chrysolina soiota
Lineage: Eukaryota; Metazoa; Arthropoda; Insecta; Coleoptera; Chrysomelidae
Description: partial 16S ribosomal RNA
Rfam family: Archaeal large subunit ribosomal RNA (bases 384-509)
Source: RNAcentral
GUCCUUUUGUAGAUAAUUUAAGGUCUGACCUGCCCACUGAAAUAUUAAAUGGCCGUGGUAUUUUGACCGUGCUAAGGUAGCAUAAUCAUUAGUUUUUUAAUUAAAAACUGGAAUGAAAGGUCGGAUAAGAAAAUAACUGUCUCUGUUAAAUUUAAUUAGAAUUUUAUUUUUAAGUUAAAAAGCUUAAAUGAAAUUAAAAGACGAGAAGACCCUAUAGAGUUUAAUUAUUUAAUAAAAGUUAUAUUUUAGUAUUAUUUUAUUAAGUUUAUUAAAUAAUUUAAUUGGGGUGAUUGAAAAAUUUAAUUAACUUUUUUUUAUUUAAAUUCAUUAAUUUAUGAAUAAAUGAUCCAAUAUUUUUGAUUAUAAGAUAAAAUUACCUUAGGGAUAACAGCGUAAUUUUUUUAGAAAGUUCAUAUUAAAAAAAAAGAUUGCGACCUCGAUGUUGGAUUAAAAUAAAUUUUUGGCGUAGAAGCUGGGAUAUUAGGUCUGUUCGACCUUUAAAAUUUUAC